AACGAACGCUGGCGGCAGGCCUAACACAUGCAAGUCGAACGCCGUAGCAAUACGGAGUGGCAGACGGGUGAGUAACGCGUGGGAACAUACCCCUCGGUUCGGAAUAACUCAGGGAAACUUGAGCUAAUACCGGAUACGUCCGAGGUUUUAAUCGGCCUUGGAGAAAGAUUUAUCGCCGGAGGAUUGGCCCGCGUCUGAUUAGCUUGUUGGUGAGGUAAUGGCUCACCAAGGCGACGAUCAGUAGCUGGUCUGAGAGGAUGAUCAGCCACAUUGGGACUGAGACACGGCCCAAACUCCUACGGGAGGCAGCAGUGGGGAAUAUUGGACAAUGGGCGAAAGCCUGAUCCAGCCAUGCCGCGUGAGUGAUGAAGGCCUUAGGGUUGUAAAGCUCUUUUACCCGGGAAGAUAAUGACGGUACCGGGAGAAUAAGCCCCGGCUAACUUCGUGCCAGCAGCCGCCGUAAG
Molecule: ribosomal RNA, 464 nt
Filed under: uncultured bacterium
Lineage: Bacteria
Description: bacterial SSU rRNA
Rfam family: Bacterial small subunit ribosomal RNA
Source: RNAcentral